UGGGGAAUAUUGGUCAAUGGGCGCAAGCCUGAUCCAGCCAUACCGCGUGGGUGAAGAAGGCCUUCGGGUUGUAAAGCCCUUUUGUUGGGAAAGAAAAGCAGCUGGUUAAUACCCGGUUGUUCUGACGGUACCCAAAGAAUAAGCACCGGCUAACUUCGUGCCAGCAGCCGCGGUAAUACGAAGGGUGCAAGCGUUACUCGGAAUUACUGGGCGUAAAGCGUGCGUAGGUGGUUGUUUAAGUCUGUCGUGAAAGCCCUGGGCUCAACCUGGGAAUUGCGAUGGAAACUGGGCGACUAGAGUGUGGCAGAGGAUAGUGGAAUUCCUGGUGUAGCAGUGAAAUGCGUAGAGAUCAGGAGGAACAUCCGUGGCGAAGGCGACUGUCUGGGCCAACACUGACACUGAGGCACGAAAGCGUGGGGAGCAAACAGG
Molecule: ribosomal RNA, 429 nt
Filed under: bacterium
Lineage: Bacteria
Description: partial 16S ribosomal RNA
Rfam family: Bacterial small subunit ribosomal RNA
Source: RNAcentral